This 400-nucleotide ribosomal RNA is filed under the name uncultured bacterium. RNAcentral describes it as "bacterial SSU rRNA". It matches the Rfam family "Bacterial small subunit ribosomal RNA", at positions 355 to 746 of the family's 1533-position model. The record is from RNAcentral.
UGGGGAAUCUUGCGCAAUGGACGAAAGUCUGACGCAGCAACGCCGCGUGAGUGAUGAAGGUCUUUGGAUCGUAAAGCUCUUUCGGGAGGGAAGAAAUGGUCAUGUGCUAAUACCACAUGGCCUUGACGGUACCUUCAGAAGAAGCACCGGCUAACUCUGUGCCAGCAGCCGCGGUAAUACAGAGGGUGCAAGCGUUGUUCGGAAUCAUUGGGCGUAAAGCGAGUGUAGGCGGUCGAAAAGGUCGGGUGUGAAAUCCCAGGGCUUAACCCUGGAACUGCAUUCGAAACCGUUCGACUUGAGUACGGGAGAGGGUCGUGGAAUUGUCGGUGUAGAGGUGAAAUUCGUAGAUAUCGGCAAGAACAUCAGUGGCGAAGGCGACGACCUGGUCCGAUACUGACGC